CGGAGGAAAAGAAACCAACAGGGAUUGCCUCAGUAACGGCGAGCGAAGCGGCAAAAGCUCAAAUUUGAAAUCUGGCUCUUUCAGAGUCCGAGUUGUAAUUUGAAGAAGGCAUCUUUGGUAGUGGCUCUUGCAUAUGUUCCUUGGAAUAGGACGUCAUAGAGGGUGAGAACCCCGUAUAUGGUGAGAUGCUCCACUGCUAUGUAAAGGGCUUUCUAAGAGUCGAGUUGUUUGGGAAUGCAGCUCUAAGUGGGUGGUAAAUUCCAUCUAAGGCUAAAUAUAGGCGAGAGACCGAUAGCGAACAAGUACAGUGAUGGAAAGAUGAAAAGAACUUUGAAAAGAGAGUGAAAAAGUACGUGAAAUUGCUGAAAGGGAAGGGCUUGACAUCAGACUCGGUUUGUAAUGAUCAGCUGUCUCUUGGGACUGUGCACUCGUUACUUACUGGGCCAACAUCAGUUUUGGCGGUAGGAUAAUUGCAGUUGAAUGUGACUUUGCUUCGGUGAAGUGUUAUAGCUUCUGUAGAUACUACCAGCUGGGACUGAGGACCGCGCUUUAUGCUAGGAUGUUGGCGUAAUGAUGU
Molecule: ribosomal RNA, 577 nt
Filed under: Blastobotrys sp.
Lineage: Eukaryota; Fungi; Ascomycota; Dipodascomycetes; Dipodascales; Trichomonascaceae
Description: partial large subunit ribosomal RNA
Rfam family: Eukaryotic large subunit ribosomal RNA
Source: RNAcentral